AUACGGAGGGUGCAAGCGUUGUUCGGAAUUAUUGGGCGUAAAGAGCAUGUAGGCGGACUGUUAAGUCUGGUGUGAAAGCCCGGGGCUCAACCCCGGGAGUGCAUUGGAUACUGGCAGUCUUGAGUAUGGGAGAGGAAAGUGGAAUUCCGAGUGUAGGAGUGAAAUCCGUAGAUAUUCGGAGGAACACCAGUGGCGAAGGCGGCUUUCUGGACCCAUACUGACGCUGAGAUGCGAAAGCGUGGGGAGCGAACAGGAUUAGAAACCCUAGUAGUCC
RNAcentral lists this ribosomal RNA (274 nucleotides) under uncultured bacterium. RNAcentral describes it as "partial 16S ribosomal RNA". It matches the Rfam family "Bacterial small subunit ribosomal RNA", at positions 523 to 796 of the family's 1533-position model. The record is from RNAcentral.